This 451-nucleotide ribosomal RNA is filed under the name uncultured bacterium. Its description in RNAcentral is "partial 16S ribosomal RNA". It matches the Rfam family "Bacterial small subunit ribosomal RNA", at positions 354 to 796 of the family's 1533-position model. The record is from RNAcentral.
GUGGGGAAUAUUGGACAAUGGGGGGAACCCUGAUCCAGCCAUGCCGCGUGUGUGAAGAAGGCCUUUUGGUUGUAAAGCACUUUAAGCGAGGAGGAGGCUACCGAGAUUAAUACUCUUGGAUAGUGGACGUUACUCGCAGAAUAAGCACCGGCUAACUCUGUGCCAGCAGCCGCGGUAAUACAGAGGGUGCAAGCGUUAAUCGGAUUUACUGGGCGUAAAGCGCGCGUAGGUGGCCAAGUAAGUCGAAUGUGAAAUCCCCGAGCUUAACUUGGGAAUUGCAUUCGAUACUGGUUGGCUAGAGUAUGGGAGAGGAUGGUAGAAUUCCAGGUGUAGCGGUGAAAUGCGUAGAGAUCUGGAGGAAUACCGAUGGCGAAGGCAGCCAUCUGGCCUAAUACUGACACUGAGGUGCGAAAGCAUGGGGAGCAAACAGGAUUAGAAACCCCGGUAGUCC